AAAAACGCUUCGAUAUUUUUCUUUGUCAACCCCCUCUGUGCACGUUUGGCUUUAGAUCGAGCGGCGGCGCUCCCUAUCCGAUCGGGACAUGUAGGACGACGGCGGCAGGGCUCCGAAAAGUGGGGAACGGCGGGGAGGCGGGGAACGGCGGGGAGGCGGGGAACGGCGAACGCGGCGAGGCGGAUCAGGUCAGGAUCCAGCGCGGCGUCCGGCGCUUCAUGGCCGUGGCGCCUCGGUCUCCUGGGAAGAAGAGACGUGGGAGAGAGAGGAGGUGAGAUGGGGAGAAGAGAAGGCAGAGUAAGGACAGCGCGGAUUCCGGCGAUGGCUCUGGUCGGCGGAUCCAGGCCAACUCUUGAUGGACUUCCGAAGUGCUGCUGGCCUCCGAAUUUUUUCUGUCGUGUAGCCGCUCCCCAUCUCAGUGUGUGCUAUCCGCGGAAGCCGGCUCCUCCACUCAGGCCCUCCUCUGCAACGCCGACGAGGACGCUACUUCGUCUGAACUGAUCUUCACGACCACGUGCAGAUGGAAUUUUUUUCAUAUGACAUCAGGGAUGUAGGAUGAUUGGGUGAACAAGCUUCUUGUGAAACAUCCAUAUCCCGGGGGCGGUGCCUCCGUUCAGCAUCCCACGCGGCGACGUCCUCCGGCAUAAUGGCAAACACUGGCAGGGGAGAAAGCAGAGCGGGAGGGGUAUUGGGUCCAUACCACUGUGGGCAUUGUCAGUGCCAUGAUUGUGGCUAAUACCCACAGGAGAUUCUAUUUCUGUGAGCGGAUUAAACAGAGUUGAGUAAACAUCAUCCAUAGGAGAUACAUGUGCUAAUUAAGUUUAGAGGAGAAAGUGGUUCUUUAUUCUUGUAAUUUUGGUGCAGAUGUCAUACAGGGGCAGAGAACAAUGGUCUUUUGGGAAUGCCUGUUAACUUUUUGGAGCUGCCAGGUAAAUUUUGGUACGAAUUUAUGUUAGUUCUACUUUUCCAUGAUGUUUAAUUGCUCGGUUCUUAAGGGCUUGUAAGAGGAGAUGGAUUUUGGACUACUCUAUUUUGGAUGCCAGUAAAGCGGAUCUGCAGAUGAAAAAUAAAAGGGUGUGCAUGGUGUUUUUUUCUUACAGAAUACUUUUAUAUGCCCUGUUCUAUUUUGCUUCAGGUUUAGGACUAUUUGGUCUGCUACAUAAUCCAUGUUUAUAACUGCAAAAGCUUAUUUUUAUUAUUAUCAUAUUUACUAUUUGUCAGUAGUAAUACAUAACACGUCGCUGGUGAAAAGCCUACUGGAAAGAUUAAUUACUCAAUAAUGUUGUCUUAAGAAUCAAUUUUUUUGAAAAGUUCUAUGUUAACCACUGUUGCCAUCUGUUCCUAUUUGUUGUUUUUUCCUAUGGCAGUUUGGAGCAAGUGAUUGGCCUAUAAUCUAAUUAAUAUUCAGGCUUGCUGAGAAUUUUUUACUAUGAGAUAAGUAGAUGAUCAUUUAACCCACAGCGAAGAUAAAGUAGAUUAUGGUGACCGAACUGAGCACACGCUGACUUAGUGCUUCGACCCUUCAUGUUUAUUAUUCACUAAUUC
RNAcentral lists this ribosomal RNA (1545 nucleotides) under Triticum aestivum (bread wheat). Its description in RNAcentral is "partial small subunit ribosomal RNA". Lineage: Eukaryota; Viridiplantae; Streptophyta; Magnoliopsida; Poales; Poaceae. The record is from RNAcentral.